This 468-nucleotide ribosomal RNA is filed under the name uncultured bacterium. Its description in RNAcentral is "partial 16S ribosomal RNA". It matches the Rfam family "Bacterial small subunit ribosomal RNA", at positions 28 to 507 of the family's 1533-position model. The record is from RNAcentral.
GACGAACGCUGGCGGCGUGCUUAACACAUGCAAGUCGAACGGAAAGGCCCUGCUUUUGUGGGGUGCUCGAGUGGCGAACGGGUGAGUAACACGUGAGUAACCUGCCCUUUACUUUUGGAUAACUUCAGGAAACUGGGGCUAAUACCGGAUAGGUGCUCCUGCUGCAUGGUGGGGGUUGGAAAGUUUCGGCGGUUGGGGAUGGACUCGCGGCUUAUCAGCUUGUUGGUGGGGUAGUGGCUUACCAAGGCUUUGACGGGUAGCCGGCAUGAGAGGGUGACCGGCCACAUUGGGACUGAGAUACGGCCCAGAAUCCUACGGGAGGCAGCAGUGGGGAAUAUUGCACAAUGGGCGGAAGCCUGAUGCAGCAACGCCGCGUGCGGGAUGACGGCCUUCGGGUUGUAAACCGCUUUCGAAUGUGACGAAGCGUGAGUGACGGUAAUGGGUAAAGAAGCACCGGCUAACUACGUG